Long non-coding RNA from Oxyura jamaicensis (ruddy duck), 218 nucleotides. RefSeq lists it as uncharacterized. NCBI's taxonomy places the organism in Eukaryota, Metazoa, Chordata, Aves, Anseriformes, Anatidae. The record is from RefSeq and is a predicted model, not a curated record. The transcript has 2 exons.
UGGCAAAAGGAUUGUUUACAUUCUUAUAUAGAAUAUGUACUUGAGGUGAUACCGAAGACUAAAAUAAUGCUCAUGCUUAACCCCAUGACUAGUUCUUUACCAUGUGUUCAGAGUAAAAUUCUACAUUAAAAUUGGCUACAGGUCAGUUUAAUUAUUAAACUUAGAUCUGUAUGUGUACAGUGAUAGAGUGAGUAAUACACAGUAAAAAGGUUGCACCU